AAGGAGAAGAAGGAUAAAAAAAUAUAGGAAACAAAAAAAAAAAAAAACCACAAAAAACCAACAAACCCACAGACAACGUUAAUGAAAAGAGCCGAUGCAGGAGCAAGAACUGUACAGAUGUGGCAGCUUUUUUAAUUAAUAUCCCCUGCUGACUGUAUUGUUAUUUUUAGUGGUGAUAUAGGAGGUUUCUUUUUUUUUUCUUUCUUUUUUUCUGUUGUAUUUUUUUUCCUAGAAUAUCGAGCUGUCUCGCAUGAACACUUGUCUCUGCUGCAGGUUUCUUUUUGGGUAUUUUUUUUUGUUUUUUAUAAUGUCAGCUGGGAUAUUGCUCGUUUACCUGCUUUAUGACUAAAGAGAGUGAAAGGCACUCUGUCUUAACUUGAAUUUCUUAGAACAGAAGCACUGUUUUUAAAAUAUAUAUAUAUAUAUAUAUAUUUGAAAGUGCCUUUUGGUGCAUGUGUCAGAUUCCCUUCAAUCUCAGGAGUGAUGAAAACAAACAUACAACCAUCCUGGGCAGCACUCCCUGUGACCCUAAGCCAGUUCUAGCUGGGAAGGAGUUAACAAAAAGGAACUGUGGAGAUUGUUUCUUUUUUGCCUUUUUUUGUUUCGUUUUGUUUUGUUGUUUUUUUUUUAAGGGGGUGACUCAUUCUGGGGUGGAAGAAGAUGGGGGGUGGGGAGGGGGGGAGAUGUUUUGAGUCAAAAUCUUAACAGCCAUCUUUAAGCCUCAGCAGGUGGUGAACUAGUCAUCAUGUUGUAUAUAAUUCAGUGUUAUCAGAUGCAAAAUACCGACCAACGGGCUCUGCUGGCCCCUGGUCACACUCAAUGUAGCUGCAUAGAACUAUAGCAUUGAUAAAGCCUUUGGUUAUUGCAACAGAAAUCUCCAACAGCCCUUGCCUAAACCCUACAAAGUAAAUGGUGACAUGACCAAAGGCCCAUCUCUUUGUUUUUCUGCUACCGCCGCGUUUUGGCUCCCACGACCUCGUGAGCGACGGACACGCCGGCGGGGUGAGGAGGUGGUGCUGGUGCUGGUGUCCCCCAUCCCUGAAGAUGCCCAGCACUGGUGAGGAGGUGCUCCUGGUGUCCCCCAUCCCUGAGGAUGCCCAGCACUGGUGCUGCUCUCCCGGGCUGAGGCAGGGUUUGUGCGGCGCCGCUCGCGGCCGAGGCAGUGCCAAGGACAGGGACAGGUUACCCACAGUUUUCCCAUCCCUAAGUAUGGAGUUAGUCUAGUACCACAUUAAUGCCUUGGAGCAUUAGUAGCCAAAGCUCAACAACAUCGUGUAACUCAGCUAAUGUGUGUCCUUUCUAUUCGAUGGGUAGGCGCUGCUAUCUGUUGUAAAUGUGUUUUUUUGGAGAAGAAGUGCAACGAGGGCCUGUUCAGUAUCUUGUGGUUAAUAUGCUCAAGCAUUGCCAAGUAAGCAAGAGGUUUUGCAGCAUCCAGGCAUAAUUCAACAUCAGUAUUAUAAAUGGUAGCAAACUACCUAGUUUAUAUGUAGGGUCAGUUUAACCAAUAACAAAUAGUUAUUAGCUUUUUUUAUUACAUUUUUCCUUUACUGAUUUGGACUAGUGGGUUUAUGUCUAAUGUUUGUAAAAUGAUUUAGACUGCAUGGAUGUGUAAUAUAAACCACAUUUAAUGGAUUAUGAGCCACUUAAUUAAUGUGCUAUGAAAUCUUGGAUUACCUGUGUUUUAUAUUCUGCAGACGAUUUUGCAGUGGGUUCGCUAAAACUUGUAAAAGUGCUUAGAUAUAUUUUCCUUUAAAUCCAAGAAUGUGCACAGUAUUGGAAGGUGAUUGUCCAGGGGAUAAUCACGCUCUUUUUGAUAUCUCUAUUGAUUCUCAAGUUGAAUGCUAAAAGUUAAAGGGGGGGAUGCGGGGGGAGCGAGCGCGUGCACACGAGAGCGAGAAUGAGAGGACGAGAGCUUGGGGUGAUGAGUGGGCACCUUUCAGAGGGUAAACUGGGCUGCAAGAUCGUCUCUAUAGAUUUUUGAAAUGCUCCUACUGCAUUUUAUAUUUCAUUGUAUCAUAUUUUCUAUAAAAUGCAAUUUCUGUAAAUUAAUGAGCAUUUGAAAUGUGUCUUGUAUGAAGUGGAAUAUGGUAAAAGUCUGCCCGAGGGGACUUCAGCAUUACCAGGAUGUUAUUAACUACCAAGGGUGAGAUCUUUCUUUUUGUCUCGGUCGGUCAGUCAAUGGGUCAGUUUGUCUUUCAUGGCUCAGAGAGCAAAUUCACUCUCACCCAAGGUUCUUGAGGAGACCGGGAGGCAAUAGUGUGGACCUCAGAGGAGAGGGAUGGCACUAAUGGCAGCAGCAAGGUGAGGAUGUCACACCACAGGCAUGGGCCGGCAGCACCUGACACUUUUCCAGAUUCCCAUUCCAUCGUUGUGAACUCAGUCAUCUUGUGUGGCCACCAUGAAAGUCUUGGUUUGCUUCUGCCAUGUGCCAUCCCCCUCCUCUUGACCACUCUUGGCAGACCUCACAGCCCCCUGCUCCCAGCCACCUGGCACAGAGCCUGCAUGGCCCUGCAGCCUCUCUUCCUUACCAUGGCACUCUUGAUUCUUCCCUGAUUCUUUUGGAAAAGCCACGGGAUGGAAUAUUUCACCACCAGGGCUUUGCACCUCUGCAGAAGCUGCCUGGGCACAGGCAGAGUGAUUAAUAAAAACACACUUGGUGUUUCUUGCUGCUGGUGUCCGUCGCCGUAGCCUCGUCACUGACACGGGAGGAGGAUUCAGCUCGAGGGCCAGGUGAGGCCAAUGGUUCUCCAUCCACGGGUCGGUGCCACUGCCUGCCAGCUCCGUGUGGCUCCUGGAAUGCUCCUGUGGAUCCUGCCAAGCCAGGUCUCUGCUGUGAGCUGUGCCUUGCCAUCCACCUGGCACUGCUCAAUCCCUGCUCCAGAGCGCUUGGUGCUUCACCUCUGCUGCAGUUUUGGCUGGGAUGAGGGAUUCCAGGUGGGGAGGGGCUGCAAGGGAUGUGGGACAGCAGCUCCAGGCCAUCAGCAGUGCACUCUUCCCAGCUGUGCAACAAGGAGCCACUUAGCCAUGCAGGGGAUGUUGUCUGACUUCAGCUUGUCUAAACAUUUCAUGUUUUCAAGAACAUUUAUGCAACCUAAGUCAAACAAAACUCUUCGAGUGAUUAAAAAUAAACCAACCUGUUUCCAUUGGCGACUUUUUUUAAAAUCAGCGGCUAUUUUUUCCUGCAGCAUUUGCAAUCCAGCCGUUCCAAUCCCACGAGCCUAUAAAUCAAACCAACCAGAUUAUUGUGUUUUGACCCAGUUCUGUUCAGUCUCCCUCUGCAGGACCUCUUCUUUCUUUUCCUCUUCCCCUUUCUCCUCCCUGUAUACUCCCUCUGUGAGGUGUACAGCCCCACAAGCAGCAGCAGCAGCAUCAGGCCACUUCUCUUGCAGUGGGAUCACUGGAAGGUAAGCGAGGGGCACAUCCAGCAGUGAAAACAGAACACUCUUUACAAACAUUUUUGCUUGCUAAUGUUUGUAACCCAGCUAAAAAAUUUUACAUUAAUCCAGGGCAUCCCAUUGACAAGGUGAAUUUGCCAUCACUCAGUCCCCCUCUGAUCCUCAUGGAUGUGACACAGUGACAACCAGUUGCAGCUGGAGGCAGCUUACAAGGAGCUGUGGAGAGGCAAAGAACCCUUUGGCUGAGCCUGCAGUUGCUGUUUAUUCUGAGAGGCAGCAGGAGGGGUUAAUGCAUUGAGAUCAGAGUCCUAAUUCCCUUACUAAUAUAAACUAAAACAAUAAACUAUUUAAAGAAGUGACCCCCACUCUUUGUACCCUACAUGUCAGUGGGGAAGGGUGUGCUCUCAGGCAGGUGGAGGGUGUCCCGUCCCUAAAACACCACUGUCCCACCCUGCUACCCCGUGGCACUGCCAGGGGACACCACCACAGCUCUCCCUGCUGUCUAAGGGAUGAGUUCCCAAGGCACUGGGGCUGGACACACGUGUGGCUUCCCUAAGGAUGAGGAUUGUACAUCCCCGAGCCAGGGACCGUGCAGGUGCAGUGUCACUGCUGUACCCACAGCCACCCCUGGCAGAGCAGGACCCACAGCCCUGCUGGUGUUUAUCGUGCACCCUAAAGCUGGGAGCAGCCUCAGUCUCAGAAAUGCCUUGCAAGGCAAGGAGGAGAUUCAGCAGGUAAUUAAUGACAGUAAAUAGGCAAGUCUGUUCCAGGUGUCCCACAUUCUAGUCAUGGUUUUGCCUCUGGUUUUGUGUUUUCCAUUUUUGCCCCUUUUUUGUUGGACCAGGUGAGGCUGCUGGCAGUAGUAGGAUGCUGAUGAGGAGUUUGCUCCCCAUGGGUUUUAAGGGAUAGUCAGGUCCAAAUCCAGCCUUCAGAAGUGGGGUUUCAGAGGUGGCUGUAACUGCUUCACAUAGGGUGGACGCUCGGGCAUUGAAGAGAGGCAAUGGUCAGUGCAGCGUCUGUACCACACAAUAUGCCAAGAUUGCAACUUUGUUUAAUCUAAAAAGAAAAUAUAUAUUAAAGGUAAAACACAGAACUUUUAUUUGUGAUGUCUUUUGGAGCUCUUUAUUUUAAGUGUGAAAAAAAAUAUACUGGGGGAUGGGGGAAAUGCUGUGUCACGAUGAAUGCAAGUGUUUAAAACAGCAGCCAGACAACGUAGGUGUCUCCCACGCAAAUUAACUCAGUUUCAUGGGGAAAAUAAAAGUUCUUUCCAGUCCACACCAACCCCACAUACAACUGCUCACACACAGUGUACAUAAUGUAGUUAGUGCUUGAAGCGACAAACCUAAUAGGGGAAAAAACAGCAACAACACCAACACGUAGAUGUAUAAUUGGAGCACUUUUUUUUUUUUUUUAAUUUUAAUGAUGAUUUUGCAUGUUUCCUUUCUGAUGGAGAAGCUGUGUAGCAGCCCGCAUGACUGUGGUUGUUCUCAAGGAAGACUCUGCUGUUCUGCUGUAUUCACGCAAAAGCAAAAGUUUGCGUCCGUUAACCCAGUUCAAAAACCUUUUUUUGUAACCGCCAACAGCACAAAUAUUUUGUAUUGUUGUUUGUACCAUUUUUGUACCAAAAACAAAAGAGGGAAAAAAAAAAAAAAAAAAGGGAAGAGAGUAAAUGUUUUCAAUGUGUUUUUAGUGCCACUGCAAUCUUGGUUUCCAAACUGAGUGACAGGUUUGCUGAUUUAUUGUGUAUCAAAGCUGAACUGGCGCACUGACGCCUGGCUCCAGUGUAAUAAAAAUAAAGUCCCCCUUUUGAAUAG
This 5209-nucleotide long non-coding RNA is filed under the name Taeniopygia guttata (zebra finch). RNAcentral describes it as "lncRNA (ENSTGUG00000022531.1)". The record is from RNAcentral. Lineage: Eukaryota; Metazoa; Chordata; Aves; Passeriformes; Estrildidae.